UGGGCUGUCGUCAAGUGGUAAAGACACGAGACUUUGACUCUCGCAUGCGCAGGUUCGAAUCCUGCCAGCCCAACCA
RNAcentral lists this transfer RNA (76 nucleotides) under Candidatus Anaerofilum excrementigallinarum. RNAcentral describes it as "tRNA-Gln". It matches the Rfam family "tRNA". Rfam says of the family: Transfer RNA (tRNA) molecules are approximately 80 nucleotides in length. Their secondary structure includes four short double-helical elements and three loops (D, anti-codon, and T loops). Further hydrogen bonds mediate the characteristic L-shaped molecular structure. tRNAs have two regions of fundamental functional importance: the anti-codon, which is responsible for specific mRNA codon recognition, and the 3' end, to which the tRNAs corresponding amino acid is attached (by aminoacyl-tRNA synthetases). tRNAs cope with the degeneracy of the genetic code in two manners: having more than one tRNA (with a specific anti-codon) for a particular amino acid; and 'wobble' base-pairing, i.e. permitting non-standard base-pairing at the 3rd anti-codon position. The record is from RNAcentral. Lineage: Bacteria; Bacillati; Bacillota; Clostridia; Eubacteriales; Oscillospiraceae.